GGCUCAGGAUGAACGCUAGCUACAGGCUCAACACAUGCAAGUCGAGGGGCAGCAUUAGGUAGCAAUACUGUGAUGGCGACCGGCGCACGGGUGCGUAACACGUAUCCAAUCUGCCCGUUACUCGGGGAUAGCCUUCUGAAAGGAAGAUUAAUACCCGAUGGCAUGUAUUUCCGGCAUCGGAGAUACAUUAAAGAUUUAUCGGUAACGGAUGAGGAUGCGUACGAUUAGCUAGUUGGCGGGGUAACGGCCCACCAAGGCUACGAUCGUUAGGGGUUCUGAGAGGAAGGUCCCCCACACUGGAACUGAGACACGGUCCAGACUCCUACGGGAGGCAGCAGUGAGGAAUAUUGGUCAAUGGUCGGAAGACUGAACCAGCCAAGUAGCGUGAAGGAUGAAGGUUCUAUGGAUUGUAAACUUCUUUUGUUUGGGAAUAAAAGACGCUACGUGUAGCGUUGUGCAUGUACCUUACGAAUAAGCAUCGGCUAAUUCCGUG
RNAcentral lists this ribosomal RNA (493 nucleotides) under uncultured bacterium. Its description in RNAcentral is "bacterial SSU rRNA". It matches the Rfam family "Bacterial small subunit ribosomal RNA", at positions 21 to 507 of the family's 1533-position model. The record is from RNAcentral.